AUACGGAGGGUCCGAACGUUAAUCGGAAUUACUGGGCGUAAAGCGCGCGUAGGCGGUUUGGUAAGUGGGAUGUGAAAGCCCCGGGCUCAACCUGGGAAUUGCAUUCCAAACUGCCGGACUAGAGUAUGGUAGAGGGAGGUAGAAUUUCCUGUGUAGCGGUGAAAUGCGUAGAUAUAGGAAGGAAUACCGGUGGCGAAGGCGGCCUCCUGGACCAAUACUGACGCUGAGGUGCGAAAGCGUGGGGAGCAAACAGGAGUAGAAACCCCAGUAGUCC
RNAcentral lists this ribosomal RNA (274 nucleotides) under uncultured bacterium. Its description in RNAcentral is "partial 16S ribosomal RNA". It matches the Rfam family "Bacterial small subunit ribosomal RNA", at positions 523 to 796 of the family's 1533-position model. The record is from RNAcentral.